RNAcentral lists this ribosomal RNA (253 nucleotides) under uncultured bacterium. RNAcentral's name for it is "partial 16S ribosomal RNA". It matches the Rfam family "Bacterial small subunit ribosomal RNA", at positions 524 to 776 of the family's 1533-position model. The record is from RNAcentral.
UACGUAGGUGGCAAGCGUUAUCCGGAAUUACUGGGCGUAAAGCGCACGCAGGCGGCGCAUCAAGUUCGACGUGAAAGCUCCCGGCUUAACUGGGAGAGGUCGUUGAAGACUGAUGGGCUUGAGGCAAUGAGAGGGGUGUAGAAUUCCCGGUGUAGUGGUGGAAUGCGUAGAUAUCAGGAAGAACACCCGUGGCGAAGGCGGCUCUCUGGGACGGUACUGACGCUGAGACGCGAAAGCGUGGGGAGCGAACAGG